UUGAGUUAGCCUACAAUCCAGGCUCUAACCACUUAGCCAAAUUAGGUCUUAACUUGAUCGAGUCACAUCUAAAUAUGAUUCGAUCUUGACCUAGACUUAAUCCUAUUAGGCUGGUCAAUUAUUAGCUUUCAUGAUCCCAUCUAACCAACUCUUGAUUCGGUUUGAUCAACUGCUAGACCUAAUUGAGCUACCCAAGUCCGAACCCAAUUUUAUGAAAAU
RNAcentral lists this long non-coding RNA (219 nucleotides) under Elaeis guineensis (African oil palm). RNAcentral's name for it is "long non-coding RNA (EGUI_LNC063557)". The record is from RNAcentral. Lineage: Eukaryota; Viridiplantae; Streptophyta; Magnoliopsida; Arecales; Arecaceae.